Molecule: long non-coding RNA, 1169 nt
Filed under: Equus caballus (horse)
Lineage: Eukaryota; Metazoa; Chordata; Mammalia; Perissodactyla; Equidae
Description: lncRNA (ENSECAG00000059697.1)
Source: RNAcentral
GAUGAGACGUACUCGUUUUCACCUGUGAAUCUCGACAUGACCAGCAGCGAUUCUGUGUUGUAGAGGUGAGUUCCUCUAGACUGCAUGUAAUGCCGUUGUGUCUGUGUUACCUGCAGUUUUGAAGGUGCCACUGGGUGUUCAAUAGACUUGCUGAGAGAUGGGCUCAUGUCUGCUCCUGAGCCACUAGGUCUUUCCCUAAGCCUAUGGAGCUUCGCAAGAGACUUCUAAGGGCCAGUUGGUCUCACUGGAUGAAGCAGAGAGCUGGCCUGUGGCACUCAGGAGUCAGCACUUGGAGAAGAUGGAAGGAACAGCAGGAGCCUUGCCGAGCCCCAGGCCAGGGAGGACAUGAGUGAAGGGCGCCGGGCGGUGCACGUCUCCGCUCCCAAUCUCUCUGGCUGUCACGUCUCCCAGCUUCUUGCCAACUCACAUCCCCGACCCCCAGAUGCCUCUCUCUGUCUUCUGGAGGUGGCUGGGGAGAAGUUCUUACCAUUACAGAAGGAGGCCAUUCACCUCCACUUCCCUCUUCCAGAUUAUUCUCUGGGAAAACUGGGUGCUUUUCAUUUGCAAUCCAGGGGCUGCCACCACUUUGGAGAAUGUUAAAAUCCAAUUUUAUAUAAAGAAGGGCUCUUUUAUUUCUUCUUUCUCUAUGAGGGAGAAAGAGAAGCAAGAUUGAUCUCAGUUUUUAACACAAUUGAAAAUGGCUUUUAGCCAAUUUUCUGUUUUACCCUGCUGUGCUCUGCCAGCCAAGGUAGGAGAAGAACAAGCAGCCUGUGUUCCUGGAGCACUUUUCUGAGAACAGGAAAAUAUCAGUGAUUUGGAUAAUUAAAUGUCUGGAUUAAAAUUUACCUAUGCCACAUCUUUAAAUAAAAAAUCUUGAUUAAAUAAUAUCAGCAAAGCAAACAGGAUGAUAAAGUAGAAUAUCUGUCUGAUUUAGUGAAGCAACCAUUUUUAUUGAUUGUAUACAUAAGUAAUGCUCAUUGUGAUCCAAGUUAAUCUCCUUAUUAAAACAUAUCACACAAGGAUCUCUACUAAUCAGGAAACAUUUAUUAGUCUAGUUUGGGUAUAUAACUGGCUUUCUUGGGUUUUGUUGCUUUUAACAAUUCAGAUUUUAAUCUCCCACUUGCCAGAGAUUGUCCUUGUCCACGAGGUUUCACCAGGGAUUUACCUGG